Non-coding RNA from Lolium perenne, 1403 nucleotides. Lineage: Eukaryota; Viridiplantae; Streptophyta; Magnoliopsida; Poales; Poaceae. The record is from RefSeq and is a predicted model, not a curated record.
CAUCCCUUGCUUCCUCACGUCGUUGUCUUCCUCGUACGGCAGCGCAUCGAGCUACUCCAUGUCGCCUGUAUUACGAUGGGACGGCCGAUCCUUCUGCCUCCUCAUUCCUUUAAAACCGGCGCUCACAUGUCCCAUCAAACCCUAGCUCCAGUCCUCUUCCCAGCCGCCGCCACUCUUUCUUUCUCCCUCGUGAUCCAUCCUCCUUCCGACAUCUCUGCUCCUCUCCAACACCGUGCGCGGCGACGCCAAGCUCCACCUCCAAGCCAAACAGCAAAGCAAGCUCGUCUUUGAUCUGCAGCCUCCAGUACGUCCGUCUCGUUGCAGCGCACGCCGGAGCUCCUCUUUGUCGACCUCCGCCUGCUCCGCGACCCUGCUUCUGCAACCCCGGCGCGAACCAUCGGUCGUCUCCGACCACGCCUCCCCAACCUGCUCCACGCGGAAGUCCCCGACGCCGGCCAUGUUCGUCUCGAUGCUUCCUCGUCGAGCAGCGGCAUGUUAUCAACGAUCCAAGGGUGAGCGCCAUGCCGUUCCCGUCUUUUCCAUGUUUUUCAUCCAUGUCCGACUCCGCGCACAGCCUCUGACCGUCGGCUUCCUCUUUCCAUGCACGCGACCGUGGACGAGCUCGAACCUCUGCGUGUUUGCGUUCCACCAAGAUCGUCGUCCGCGUCAGCGCUCGUCGCCGUUCCUCUAUUCGCUGAAGCGCGGCCAUGCAGUGCGUCCUCGCACGCAACGCGCACGCAGCAGCCUUCGUCGUCGCCGGCAGCGGCCUCCUGUAGCUUCCCAUCACGGACGUCGUCGACGGUCGACGUCAUGUACUGCCGGCCUCGCGUCCCUGCUUCAUCAACGGCUGGCCAUGCGCGUCUACCGCGCGCCAGCAUCCGCGUCGCCAAGACCCUUUGGUUGCCAACGCUGCUCGCCGGCAAGCACAGCGCCAUCUCCCAGCUUCUCGGGCCCCGUCAUGCAAGUCCAAGUUUCCGCCUUGGACUCCAUCAAGAGCAGCGCGUCUCCUUGUUUGAUAUCAUCUGAAGCUAGCCCAGCUGCUGGGCCCCAUCCGUCAGCCUCUGGGGCUGGCUUCUUGUCGGUGAGAAAUGUCCUCGCCCACCUGCUCCAGUCAGCGUCCAUGUCAGCAGCGUCCGGGCCCGUGCGUCCGUGACCCAGGCUGUCCUCCCCUUCGCAUUUGCUUCUUCCCGGAUAGGAUCGCGAAGUGGUGUGGUGAGAUACGACGAGAUCUCCGGAUGUCCCUCUGCAAGUUUUAACAGGCAAGCAUUUCCCCUAUACUUCUGCCCCUGCAGAAGUCGCUCACCUAUUUUAUUUUGCCUUCUCCCUCAUGCUAUCCUUAAGUUGCGUUCUUGUCACGUGUCCUUUCCACUUACCUCAAGCAGCCCAUAUUGCCACCACCACCU